UAAUAAGUGUUUUAUGGCACUUUUUAAAUCCAUAUCCACCUUGUGUGCAAUGUCAGUCGAUCUUCUUCAUGGAGAUCGACCAAACGUCAAACUUAUUCUAUUUAACUCUUUGUCUGAAAACUAUUAUGAAUAAACUAAUUCAAAAUA
RNAcentral lists this unclassified non-coding RNA (147 nucleotides) under soil metagenome. Its description in RNAcentral is "partial internal transcribed spacer 1". The record is from RNAcentral.